AUGAACGCUGGCGGCGUGCCUAAUACCUGCAAGUCAAGCGAACAGACGAGGAGCUUGCUCCUCUGACGUUAGCGGCGGACGGGUGAGUAACACGUGGAUAACCUACCUAUAAGACUGGGAUAACUUCGGGAAACCGGAGCUAAUACCGGAUAAUAUAUUGAACCGCAUGGUUCAAUAGUGAAAGACGGUUUUGCUGUCACUUAUAGAUGGAUCCGCGCCGCAUUAGCUAGUUGGUAAGGUAACGGCUUACCAAGGCAACGAUGCGUAGCCGACCUGAGAGGGUGAUCGGCCACACUGGAACUGAGACACGGUCCAGACUCCUACGGGAGGCAGCAGUAGGGAAUCUUCCGCAAUGGGCGAAAGCCUGACGGAGCAACGCCGCGUGAGUGAUGAAGGUCUUCGGAUCGUAAAACUCUGUUAUUAGGGAAGAACAAAUGUGUAAGUAACUAUGCACGUCUUGACGGUACCUAAUCAGAAAGCCACGGCUAACUACGUG
RNAcentral lists this ribosomal RNA (496 nucleotides) under uncultured bacterium. RNAcentral describes it as "partial 16S ribosomal RNA". It matches the Rfam family "Bacterial small subunit ribosomal RNA", at positions 29 to 507 of the family's 1533-position model. The record is from RNAcentral.